This 380-nucleotide long non-coding RNA is filed under the name Dasypus novemcinctus (nine-banded armadillo). RNAcentral's name for it is "lncRNA (ENSDNOG00000051677.1)". Lineage: Eukaryota; Metazoa; Chordata; Mammalia; Cingulata; Dasypodidae. The record is from RNAcentral.
AGCCCAUGCAGUUCUUGUACUUACAUCACCCUGUGAACAGUGGGGUCGGGGGGAGAAAAGUUACAGCUGUAAGGAUUUGUUUGGAGGCAAGAGGACCCGUUGUGGGAAUUUUGUUGACCUUAUGGUUUCAACAUUAUUUCAGAAAGAAGAGAAGUCUGCAGAAGAACAUCCAAAGAAAGCAUUCAACUCAGAAACAGACAGUUUCAAGUUGGCAUAUGGAGGGCACCAGUAUCAUGCCAGCUGUGCCAACUUCUGGAUCAACUGUGUUGAACCAAAACCUCCUGGCCUCAUCCUGCCUGAUUUGCUCUGAAAAGCUCCUCUAUGAAACACUGACCAGUUUUUUUGCUGGUUUUUUUUUCCCAUCACACCCCAUGGGGUAA